This 646-nucleotide ribosomal RNA is filed under the name uncultured bacterium. Its description in RNAcentral is "bacterial SSU rRNA". It matches the Rfam family "Bacterial small subunit ribosomal RNA", at positions 8 to 699 of the family's 1533-position model. The record is from RNAcentral.
AGAGUUUGAUCAUGGCUCAGGAUGAACGCUGGCGGCGUGCUUAACACAUGCAAGUCGAACGAACCUUCGGGUUAGUGGCGGACGGCUGAGUAACGCGUAGGAACGUACCCCAAAGUGAGGGAUAAGCCAUCGAAAGAUGGUCUAAUACCGCAUGUGCUCUACGGAGUAAAGUCUUCGGACGCUAUGGGAGCGGCCUGCGUAUGAUUAGCUUGUUGGUGAGGUAAUGGCUCACCAAGGCGACGAUCAUUAGCUGGUCUGAGAGGAUGAUCAGCCAGACUGGGACUGAGACACGGCCCAGACUCCUACGGGAGGCAGCAGUAGGGAAUCUUCCACAAUGGGCGAAAGCCUGAUGGAGCAACGCCGCGUGCAGGACGACGGCCUUCGGGUUGUAAACUGCUUUUAUGAGUGAAGAUUAUGACAGUAGCUCAAGAAUAAGGAUCGGCUAACUACGUGCCAGCAGCCGCGGUCAUACGUAGGAUCCAAGCGUUAUCCGGAAUUACUGGGCGUAAAGAGUUGCGUAGGUGGUCUGUUAAGCAGAGUAUGAAAUCGCACGGCUCAACCGUGUACACGUAUUCUGAACUGGCAGACUANAGGACGAGAGAGGUUACUAGAAUUUCUUGUGUAGGAGUGAAAUCCGUAGAUAUAA